Molecule: ribosomal RNA, 420 nt
Filed under: bacterium
Lineage: Bacteria
Description: partial 16S ribosomal RNA
Rfam family: Bacterial small subunit ribosomal RNA
Source: RNAcentral
UGGGGGAUAUUGCACAAUGGGCGAAAACCUGAUGCAGCGACGCCGCGUGGGGGAUGAAGGCUUUCGGGUUGUAAACCUCUUUCGCUAUCGAACAAGGCCCGCUUAGGGUGGGUUGAGGGUAGGUGGAGAAGAAGCGCCGGCUAACUACGUGCCAGCAGCCGCGGUAAUACGUAGGGCGCGAGCGUUGUCCGGAAUUAUUGGGCGUAAAGGGCUUGUAGGCGGCUUGUUGCGACUGUUGUGAAAACGCGGGGCUUAACUUCGCGCGUGCAGUGGGUACGGGCAGGCUUGAGUGUGGUAGGGGUGACUGGAAUUCCAGGUGUAGCGGUGGAAUGCGCAGAUAUCUGGAGGAACACCGAUGGCGAAGGCAGGUCACUGGGCCAUUACUGACGCUGAGGAGUGAAAGCAUGGGUAGCGAACAGG